Molecule: long non-coding RNA, 2517 nt
Filed under: Citrus sinensis (sweet orange)
Lineage: Eukaryota; Viridiplantae; Streptophyta; Magnoliopsida; Sapindales; Rutaceae
Description: long non-coding RNA (CSIN_LNC000599)
Source: RNAcentral
UUAAAUAAGGAUAAUUUUAGAGUUUCUAUUCAAUUCGGUUCGGGUUAACGUACGAAAUCCGAACGGCUUGAAAAAUGCAACCCGAUCGGUUUUUAUUUCGAUUCGGGUUGAAUCCGAACCGAAAUCAAAACCCGAUCGGCUUAGCCUAUAUAUAUACACACAUGCACCAACGUUGCUUCCUUUCCUUCAAAUCCUUAAUUCCUCUUCUUUGCGCUUUCACAUUUGUGCUCCACAACAGCACACCUAGCACGUAGCAGUGGGCACAGACACUCACACACGACAUACCCAUGUGAUGUUGCCGCUGUUGAUUCCGUUCAGAGCACCAGCAUUGCAGGCUUGCAGCUUCUAGCCCUUCUGCCUCCCUUGAGUCGAUCUGGUUCCUCAUUCAAGACUUCAAGCUCAUGUCACCUUGAGCCGAUCUUGAAUCGCUUGCGUCUGCUCCGACUACUGUCGUCACUGCCUCCGGCUUCAUUCACGGUCGUCAGCUGCACAAGUUUAUGUAUGCAGAGUUCCAAAUGGUGUAUGAAUGGUUGUUUGUAAAUCAGUCUUCUUUUGGGCAUGGGUAAGAGGCAUUACUAGCACUAAAACUGUUCAAUCUUCUCUUGUGUAACGAUUGGUUGUAAUUGUUCCUGAUUUGGUUUCUUAACAUUGAAAUUUUUGUUGUAUUGAGUGUUAAUAGUGAUGGGUAUUAAUGUAUUAUAUAUGCUAUCAUUUGGUGUCAUUUUUGCUUUCAUUUUUGCAUCUGGAGUUGGGCUGGUGUUUGAUUUCGGAAUUUUAGGCGCUGCCUGGGUGGGAUUUGAUUCAUUUUGAAAUUGAAUUAAAUUUUGGAAGAGGUUGUAACCCGAAUUAGAAUCCAAACCGAAAUCUUGACUUGUAUUUUCAAUCCAAUCCAACCUGAACUGAACCGAAUUAAAUUCGGUAAUCCGGUUCGGUUCGGUUCGGGUUUUUGUUUCGAACCCGAAUGGGUUGUAACCCAAACCGAAACCCGAACAACCUGAACCGAAACCCGAUUUUUCGGUUCGGUUUACAAUCCGUUCGGGUUUGAGAAUUCAACCCAAACGGUUUGAAAAGCUAUUACGGUUCGAUAAGGUUCGGUUUUAAAUUCGGUUCAGGUUCGGUUUCAGAUUCGGGUUUGGGUUUUCGGUUUCAAUAACGGUUUAGAUUGUAAUUUGAGGUCAAAUUGUAUUCAUUCUACAGAAAUACAGAAUAUAACACCCAGAACAGUUUUAAUCACACUAAAAAAAUGAAUAAAAAUAUAUUCAAUCCAACAACCUUGCAAAGUAUAUGUCCAAAACAUGAGGUUUUCAAGCCUGUUUUAUUCAAAAUCCUCAAUCCCAAGCUCAAAUUUGAGAGCAACACGAACAUGCAAAAUUUAGAAAGCCAAAUCUCAAAAAGAAGGAAAAAUAAAUAAAAAGUGAUUAGCCAAAAACACCACCAUCACAAGAAUUACAUAAGCACAAAACAAGAAAACCCCAUAAAAUUUUCAAGAAUAUAUCUUAAGCCCAAAAUGCUACAAUAUCAAAAUUCUCAACCAACAAACAUACAAAUUUUACGCACCCAAAAUAUUCUACAGCAAACUAAGAAUCAGGAAUCAAAAGAAAAAGAAACAAACCCAGAAGAAAGAAAGCCAAGAGAAGCAAGAACGAAAGAAAUAAAAAGGACAAACCUUUAAAUAUAAUCCGAAGAAGACGAGAGUGAAGGUCGACAGCCGCUGUGCUGCGAGAAAGUGACCACUGACAAGACGCGAUUGACGGCCGAGAAUGACGACCGGUGGCAGCGUGGUGCGGUUGAGUGGCCGACGGCAGAUGAGAAUUGAGAGUAAAGAGAGAUGAGGCUUAGCUUAGGGUUUCUAAUUUUGAGGGGGAUCGGGUUUGAUUGCUAGAAAUUUAGGUUUUUUUUCUUUUUCUAAUAUAACCGAUCGGGUUUAUUGUUCGGUUCGGUUUUAACCGAACCGAAUAGAAAUCCGAUCGGUUUUUAUAAUCAAACCGAACCGAACCGAACCAAAAACCGAAAUACUUUUUAAAUUCCAUUCGGGUUGGUUCGGUUCAACCCAAACCAGAUGCUCGCCCCUACUUGUAGUCCAUAACUCCAUGAAAAAUCAGACAAUAAAAAUGGCCGACCUAUCAUACAUGAUUAAAAGAAAAUAAAUCCCAAACACAAUAGAACAUGAUCUCUCAAAAUUGAUCCUAAACACAAUCCCAAAACCCUAGGUUAAAGCAACUACCAAGAUUCGGCACAAUCAAUAAUCCAAUCAAAGAAAAUAAAAAUUUUGCUAAAAAAAAAAUCAAAACAACCAAAUAAAAUUCAAAUUUAUGUUCGUUUACGUAUACAGUAAAGUUUAAAAAAUCAUGAAAGAUUAAUUGAUAAAUAAUUAAAAAAAUGAGAUGAAGAUCGGUUGUCACCUUAAGGGUGAGAUUGUGAAUCAAAGAAGCCUUACGAGAGCAUAAAUAAGAGAAGAGAGAGAUAAGGAUUGUGUUAUGAGGGACAAAGAUUCGGAAAUAGAUGAAUUUGAUCAAG